This 425-nucleotide ribosomal RNA is filed under the name Macrotermes gilvus. RNAcentral's name for it is "partial 16S ribosomal RNA". The stretch from base 1 to 174 matches the Rfam family "Bacterial large subunit ribosomal RNA", at positions 1797 to 2031 of the family's 2925-position model. The record is from RNAcentral. Lineage: Eukaryota; Metazoa; Arthropoda; Insecta; Blattodea; Termitidae.
CGCCUGUUUAUCAAAAACAUCUUUUCUUGUUAGUUUUUGAAGUAUGGCCUGCCCGCUGAUUUUAGGUUGAAGGGCCGCGGUAUUUUGACCGUGCAAAGGUAGCAUAAUCAUUAGUUCUUUAAUUGUGAUCUGGUAUGAAUGGCUUGACGAGGCAUGGGCUGUCUUGGAUUGGGAUUGUUUAUUGAAUUUGGUUUUUGAGUUAGAAUUCUUAAAUGUUUUUAUGGGACGAGAAGACCCUAUAGAGUUUAACAUUUAUUUAUAUAGCUUGUUUUGGUUUGUUUUGUAGUUGCUUUGUGUUAAUGUUUUGUUGGGGUGAUGGGAAGAAUUUUCUUAACUCUUCUUUAUUUUGGUAUAUUGAUUUAUAUUGGUUUUGAUCCAUUUAUUUUGAUUAUAAGAUUAAAUUACCUUAGGGAUAACAGCGUAAA